RNAcentral lists this ribosomal RNA (372 nucleotides) under uncultured organism. RNAcentral describes it as "partial 16S ribosomal RNA". It matches the Rfam family "Bacterial small subunit ribosomal RNA", at positions 527 to 896 of the family's 1533-position model. The record is from RNAcentral.
GUAGGUGGCAAGCGUUGUCCGGAAUUAUUGGGCGUAAAGCGCGCGCAGGCGGUUCUUUAAGUCUGAUGUGAAAGCCCACGGCUCAACCGUGGAGGGUCAUUGGAAACUGGAGAACUUGAGUACAGAAGAGGAAAGCGGAAUUCCACGUGUAGCGGUGAAAUGCGUAGAGAUGUGGAGGAACACCAGUGGCGAAGGCGGCUUUCUGGUCUGUAACUGACGCUGAGGCGCGAAAGCGUGGGGAGCAAACAGGGAUUAGAUACCCUGGUAGUCCACGCCGUAAACGAUGAGUGCUAAGUGUUAGGGGGUUUCCCGCCCCUUAGUGCUGCAGCUAACGCAUUAAGCACUCCGCCUGGGGAGUACGCCGCAAGGCUG